ACGAACGCUGGCGGCGUGCUUAACACAUGCCGGUCGAACGGUGAUGCUCCAGCUUGCUGGAGUGGAUCAGUGGCGAACGGGUGAGUAACACGUGAGCAACCUGCCCCAGACUCUGGAAUAAGCGCUGGAAACGGCGUCUAAUACUGGAUACGAAACUGGCCCGCAUGGGCAUGGUUUGGAAAGUUUUUCGGUUUGGGAUGGGCUCGCGGCCUAUCAGCUUGUUGGUGAGGUAAUGGCUCACCAAGGCGACGACGGGUAGCCGGCCUGAGAGGGCGACCGGCCACACUGGGACUGAGACACGGCCCAGACUCCUACGGGAGGCAGCAGUGGGGAAUAUUGCACAAUGGGCGAAAGCCUGAUGCAGCGACGCCGCGUGAGGGAUGACGGCCUUCGGGUUGUAAACCUCUUUCAGCAGGGAAGAAGCGAAAGUGACGGUACCUGCAGAAGAAGCACCGGCUAACUACGUG
This 467-nucleotide ribosomal RNA is filed under the name uncultured bacterium. Its description in RNAcentral is "partial 16S ribosomal RNA". It matches the Rfam family "Bacterial small subunit ribosomal RNA", at positions 29 to 507 of the family's 1533-position model. The record is from RNAcentral.